Molecule: unclassified non-coding RNA, 480 nt
Filed under: Hevea brasiliensis (rubber tree)
Lineage: Eukaryota; Viridiplantae; Streptophyta; Magnoliopsida; Malpighiales; Euphorbiaceae
Source: RNAcentral
UGAUAAUUUUCAGUUUGUGAAUUUUACUGCUAUCAUGAAAAAAAAUACAAGUGAUUCGGGAAAAGAAGCUGCUUUUGCUCUUGCUGCACUCAUGGAGAUCCCUAUCCAAUAUAAAGCAGCUAGAGAACUUGGUCUGCUUGGAAAAAGGACAGGUAAGGCGAAGAAGGUAGUUCCAAAGCCGCCACCAGUCCCUUACAGUCGCCGUAUGGCAACCCCAACUCGACAUCAAAGCAGUUUUUCAGGAUCGCCGCAAAAUGAACAGAAUCAAGCUUGCCCAGUUUGUCUAACUGGUACUAAAGAUAUGGCUUUUGGUUGUGGACAUAUGACCUGCAGAGAAUGUGGUCCAAGAGUGUCGGAUUGUCCAAUUUGUCGUAGACGAAUAAGUAGUCGUAUCCGGUUAUACACUUAAAAUUGAUACUUAAAUGACGGGUGUAUGUAAAUAUAUGUUGUAUAUUUCUCGAGUUUAACUUUGCUUAAAAA